RNAcentral lists this unclassified non-coding RNA (237 nucleotides) under Hevea brasiliensis (rubber tree). The record is from RNAcentral. Lineage: Eukaryota; Viridiplantae; Streptophyta; Magnoliopsida; Malpighiales; Euphorbiaceae.
GCAGUUUCUUGCUUUUCUCUAAUCCCCAUACAUGAUUUCAAAGGAAACAAAGAACAAGGAACACAAGUAAAGAGUACCAUCUUUAUUUUCUUUAAUAUUAAAAACUUGAAAACCUAAGAAUUACAGGGCAAAAGAUCAUCACCAUCAUCAUCUUCAUCAGCUCUGAUUACACUUUACCAGAGAGGAUUUUUAGCUCCCCUAAAACAAAACAAAUAAAUACUUGACAAGAAACUAACA